AACGAACGCUGGCGGCAUGCCUAACACAUGCAAGUCGAACGAGAACUUCGGGUCUAGUGGCGCACGGGUGCGUAACGCGUGGGAACCUGCACUUAGGUUCGGAAUAACUCCCCGAAAGGGGUGCUAAUACCGGAUAAUGUCUUCGGACCAAAGAUUUAUCGCCUUUGGAUGGGCCCGCGUUGGAUUAGCUAGUUGGUAGGGUAAAAGCCUACCAAGGGGACGAUCCAUAGCUGGUCUGAGAGAAUGAUCAGCCACACUGGGACUGCGACACGGCCCAGACUCCUACGGGAGGCAGCAGUGGGGAAUAGUGGACAAUGGGCGAAAGCCUGAUCCAGCAAGGCCGCGUGAGUGAUGAAGGCCUUAGGGUUGUAAAGCUCUUUUACCCGGGAUGAUAAUGACAGUACCGGGAGAAUAAGCUCCGGCUAACUCCGUG
This 433-nucleotide ribosomal RNA is filed under the name uncultured bacterium. RNAcentral's name for it is "partial 16S ribosomal RNA". It matches the Rfam family "Bacterial small subunit ribosomal RNA", at positions 29 to 507 of the family's 1533-position model. The record is from RNAcentral.